Long non-coding RNA from Papaver somniferum (opium poppy), 1520 nucleotides. RefSeq lists it as uncharacterized. The transcript has 7 exons. NCBI's taxonomy places the organism in Eukaryota, Viridiplantae, Streptophyta, Magnoliopsida, Ranunculales, Papaveraceae. The record is from RefSeq and is a predicted model, not a curated record.
CUGAUAUCUCUUCUUCAAUUGAAACUCAAAAGAGCCUCCAUUUACUUCUAUUGAAGACGAGACGACGUUAUAAGAUUGAUAAAAUUUCAGCUCGAGCUCAAUUUAUGAUUAGGUUUAGAUCAUUUUACAUGUCUCUACAUUUCCCUUCUUUCUCAACCUCGAAGAACCUCAGAAAGAAGAUCUGAAAACAAACAGAUGUGGAAAAAAUUGCUUGAAACAUGGUAUAGAUUAUAGUAGCUGCGGUGAUAGGAAUAGCAUCUGUUCUUUUUGACCGGCCUUUUUGGUGAUACUCUUUAGAAAUUGGAAAUGAGAUUUGGAUACGAAACAGUAGUUGUUCCGGUUAUGGCAUUUAGUGCUUUAGCAUUUGGUAGUGUGGGAGGACUGGGUGGUGGAAUUUAUGUUCGGAUGCUUAUUAUAGUUAUGGGAUUUGAUGCGAAGUCCUCCGUCCCGAUAUCUAAAUGUGAGAGUGUUGUACUUGGUUGCCAGAAUUUUGUUUUCAUGAACAUAUACAAGGACAUCAUUUUUGCUAUUUAAUUUUUAUGGUCUGGUAUGAUAAUGGUUACUGCUGCUUCAACUGUUUACUGCAAUCUUAAGAAAAGGCAUCCAAAAAUGGAAAUGACUGUAACCGACUACAAUUUGGCGGUGCUUAUACAACCGAUGCUCAUGUUAGGAACCAGUAUCUGUGUAGGUAUAGGUGGGAUCCUAGCGGAUUGGAUGGUCACAGCUUUUUAGUGAAAUCCUUCUCAUUGGGCAAAGUUGUGUUUUAUUUCUAUUUCGGAUGGAGAAAAAUGUUGGCUUGUAAAAGAAUAUGGCGAUUACUGGACUUGUCUCUACAAAUCGGAUGGAGUUGUUAAAGGAUAAGCUUUUUAAUGGUGGAAUGAAGAAGCUUGUAGACGAGGCCUUUUCUGCCUCAUGGAAAGGAAAGGAUAAAGUUUUUGUGAAUGGAGAUUGGAAUGGAGUAUGUGAUGAUUUAUCAUAUAUGUGACAAAUCUCAAACACAGUCGUCGCAGUAAGGGAAUCCUACCACUGGCUGAAACAAAAGGUGUCGUUACUGGUUGGAACUGUUGGAUUAGAGAUGCACUUUGGGGACGUUAGAAAUAAGACCAAGAUAGGAUCAAUCGAUUCAAUCAACAACUUCAUUUUGUUCUAGGCACAACUCCGAUGUGGAUAGGGGGAAUGAAGGUCAAAGCUGAGAAAGAUGGGUUCUCGCCUCAUGCUUCAAUGCGUGCAACCUAAGAUGUUGCAACAGGGUGUUAGGUUAACUGCUAAACCGUUCUAUGCAAAUCCUGCCAUUAUUUAGCAAGAGAUUGGCGUGGUUGAUAUUUUUGUCAGUCGGUGCAGACUCGAGUGGCUAUCAUGAAUGUUGUAUUUUUUCGAAUAUUUGUCGAUGUGUACAUAGUUAUACACUGGUGUGAAUUAUUUUUUUUUUGAAUGUGAAAAUUAUAUAGUCAUAUGGGUACUCUUUUUGUAGACAUCGAAAAGAGCUUUCCGAAUAUAUAAAGUUUGUAAAUUUUGGACGA